CUUCGGACUUCCAAAGUGCUGGGAUUACAGGCGUGAGCCACCAUGCCCGGCUUCUUGGAAUCAAGGAUGAAGCAGAGCACAGAAGCUUCUCUUCCCGCCCAGGGAGGAGACACAGGAGGGUCACAGGGCCAGGCGCAGCACAGAGCACGGGGAAAAGGAGCUCCCGAAAGGCUGAAAUGUCAGCCUGUCAACGUUUCCUGUGUGCCUGAGCCCUCUCUCCUUGGUGGGACGCGGGGCCAGCGCGG
Long non-coding RNA from Chlorocebus sabaeus (green monkey), 245 nucleotides. RefSeq lists it as uncharacterized. The record is from RefSeq and is a predicted model, not a curated record. NCBI's taxonomy places the organism in Eukaryota, Metazoa, Chordata, Mammalia, Primates, Cercopithecidae.